Molecule: long non-coding RNA, 5186 nt
Organism: Manis javanica (Malayan pangolin)
Lineage: Eukaryota; Metazoa; Chordata; Mammalia; Pholidota; Manidae
Source: RefSeq, a predicted model, not a curated record
GUGCCUCUGAAGUACAGUCUGGGGACAAUAGGAUUGUCUGGUAUUCAUCGUGAAUUCAGAGACUGUGGUACAGGUUGUCAGAGCUGCAGGAAGCAGAGAAGGGUGGCUUGGAAGAAUUAGGAAGGUUUCUCUAAGGAGGGCAUUGAUGGGAGGAUUUGGCUGAGAAAGGGUAGGUUUCAAUGACAGGGUGUUUUGUGGGGAACACUACCCCAGGUGAAAGAAGGAAUAGACCAGGAAUCACUUUUCUUGGUCACUCAUAUGCCUCCCAUGAUAUGUCAGUCGCUGUGUUCAGUGCCAAGGACACAAGAUGAAUAUGGCAAUUCAGUAUCAUAGCUAACACCAGGGGCACUGAGUCAGACAUACUUGGGGAUAAUAAUAGCACCUCAUCAUGGGGCCAUUGUGAGGAUUAAAUGAACUGCCUGAAAAAGAAGUCAGCCCCUGGUGCACAUGCCCAGUCUGAAAAGGACACAUGAGUGAGUUGAGAAGAGGCUUAAAGGACUGUGACCAGAACAGGGAGGGAGUCAUGACCUGAGCCAGGAGGAGUGAUUGCUGGAAUUGGAGGUGAUCACCCUGAAGAGGAGGGGCCGAGGGGCAGGCAUGCCAGCUGCCUUCAGAUAUCAGAGAGGAACCUGAAACAUUGGUCAAACUAGGGGCUCCCACAUCCCCUUCUGAUACAUAGAAACAUCUUGAACAUCCUGGGGAUUCUGGUACUUGUCCAUUGAGAGGGCAGAUAUGGAGCUGCCCUCUGGGUAUCCCAUCAGCCAAGGUUUCAUUAAGCUCUAAUUUGCACCAUGGAAAAUAGGAUUUGUUUUUCAUUUUUCAUCUUUAAAUAGCAUGACUUAAAUUGUGUGCUUGCAAACCGUUUUUACCUCUCACACAAUCUCCACUCUGGAGAUCCACACACCUGACUUCCUUCCCUUCCCUGUAAGUUUUGUUGUUUUAAGCAUGUAGCUCUACAAAGGAGAAUUCAGCCAGUGGGGAUGAGUUACAGGGAGCUGGGUUUCAGCAUAGAAAGGACUAUAUUCUCCAAGUUAGAGACAUCCAGCAUGGAAUGGAUUGAUUAAGACAAUGUGUAAGGAGGGGCCAAGUGACCUAUUUGUGACCAGGGCAUCGAUUGGAGGUUGUCAUUUCCAAUUCUGAUUUUGUGCUUUAAGAACUGAGAUGUAUGAUGCAAAAACUCCAGGGCUCUGGCUGAACAGCCCCACCUUUGUGGGUUCAACAUUUCAGGACUUUAAAGAUUGUCUUCCAUACUUUCAAAGAGGACCCACUCACCUCCAAUUCCUUGAGAUCCCUAAUUCUUUCUUCUGUCCCAUUUGGGGACUUGAACCCAACUUAACUGAGGACUGGAAGGCCCCAGGACAGAGACACCAGAGGUGUGGAGUCUCCAAAUGCGCAGGUGGACAAGGUGACAGUGCUCUACAAGGGGUGCCAUGCAAAAGCGUACAGGGAGUUCUGCCUGUCACUUUGGACUUCCUAGGCCAUUCGUCAAUGCCUGUGGGGGCUCAGUGCCCUACCAUGAAAAAUCAGCUGGCCCUGUGAUCACUUCCCAGCUGCCAUCCUGAAACGUUUCAAUUCAUUCCUCCAGCCUUACUUUGCUCCCACAGGCCAACUUCAGUGCCUUCAGUUGCACCAGGAGGGUGUUGCUAUUUUUAUUUUGUGAUCCCUCCCUUUCCAAAUGAAACAAAAGAUUUCAUGUAAGGCAUCCAGAUUUCCAGUUUCUCUAGGGAAUUUGGCUCUGCACCCCAACGGGGCUCAGGUCACCUCCCGUGCUGCUUCCUCUCUGUCACCAGCUGUCCCCUUGUCUCAGUUGGGCACCUCCCCAAGGCAGAUGCCGACACCAGGAUUGGAGAGCAAGUAGUGAUGUGGGAGGUGCGGAGGGUGAUGACGUGGGACAGGGUGGGGAAGAAAGCCAGUGAGGUUACUGCUGUGGGAAACUAGGGUGUAAUCCUGCCAGGGUCACUGGGUGAGCGUAGACUGUGGCUCACUUUCCCUCCUGAGAGAAGAGGGAACUUGGGUAUUUGUACACCAGCUCCUGUCAGUCACAGGUGGAAGCUGCUCCAGCAGAGAGUGGUGGCCACAGAAAGCCCCAUGGCAGCGAGGGGCAGGUGGCAGUGGGAAGGCCAGAGUGCCCUCAGAGGGCAAGGCCUGCCCCAGCGGAGGGACACCGGGGGCUUCUGCUAAGCCUCUGUAAGAUGUUUGACUUUGCUGCUCUGCUUUAAGCUGUUCCAUGCAACCAUUACAAAACAGGAAAUCAGUUGUCAUUUCAGACCUUGUCUGACCCACUGCCUUCACAGUGUUGGGUCUGCAUGAUGGACCUGGGGAGGUGUAGAUCUCAGGCAAGUUGCUCAUUGUACCAAAGAGGAAAGUCACCCACUUGGCACAGCUUUGUCCUUCCAAAUCCCCGGGGUAGGGCUGACCUUCCGGAUGGCAGACAGCACUAGCAUUGGGGUCCUCACUUUCCUCCCUGCCAUCCGGCCAGGCUGGCCUUUUCUUUCUGGAAUAUUUAUAUUCCUCAUGUCCUCUGCUCUCUUUUUCAUGCCAAGAUUAACCAGCCAACUGGUUUUGAUGGCGAGUUAUGGGGGGGUUAAUUGGAGGGGAGGGAUUAACAGACCUUUGCUAAGUCAAGUCUCCAGAUCUGUGUCAUUACAAAUGAUGCCUUUUAAAGUCUUUCCACCUUUGCUGGCAUCCCUUUGCUGAGCAAAGGAAGAACAGCUGAUUCCAUACAAGGGGUCUCAGUCUGCCCUUGUGACCACAACAUUUCCUGGAACCAAAGGGCUGGUAACAUGUCCAAACGAGAAGGGUGAGCUCUCUGCCAGGCCCUCCCAGAGAGGAGUUAAUCUUCACAAUAGGCAUGCUUUAUUCUGAGAAUCUGUCUUGCAAACCCUGCAUUGAGGCUGUUGUUUUCAGAUUAGAGAGCAUGUUGACAGCCUCUCUUCCAAAGAAUCUAUGGCUUGGGGCUUUUAACUUUGGGAUCCAUGUCCCCCAACCACUCUGGGAUUCAUUUUUCCAGAGGUACCAGCCAAGGGCUCCCCCAACCCCUACCCCCAAGUCUUUGCACACCAGGGCCUGGGGUUAGGACUGGCUGUAGCCACUUUUGAGUCAAGAGAACUUCUGGCCCUUUGCUGUCUUGUUCCCUUUUCUCAGACGCUGUAAACGGAAGUAUCCAAGGGUUUUUGCCUUCUGAAGUGUGCAUUACACUGAGAUGGGAUGGGUGGGGGGAAUAGGGCAAGUACACAAGAACAUGGAGCCAAGUGUCUGGGCAUUGAAACAUAUUGCUUAGAUCACAAGGCCCUACCGUUUACCAGCUAUGCUUUCUUGGGCAAGCCAUUUAACCUCACUGUGUCCCUAUUUCCUUGUCUAAAAAAUGGAAAUAAUGGUAGUACUUACCUCAAAGGUCUAUCAAAAUGAUAAAAUGAGGUGAUGUAGGAAAAGCUCCUUGCCUGCACACAGUAAGAUCUUGAUAAACAGGAGCUGUUUUCGCCUUUCUUCACCAUUAUCAUUGUAAUUGUUGAUAUUAUCUGAGCUUCCAGAAAUACCAAAUCUCAGCUAUGGGCUUUCAUAAGAGGACUGGGCCACCUCCAUUGGGAAGGAACAAAGGUAGCUUCUUAAGUGAUGAAGAUUUGGUGAUGUGCCCUAAAGAAUGGGAGGAAUUUGGACAGGUGGCAAUGUCAUGUGGGGAGACAGCAAGUCAGAGAAGAGGAGAGGAGAACAUUCCAGGUGGCGGAAGUCAAGUGUGGUGUGAAAGGAGAGAUGCCCGUGUGUGCUCGGGGAUUAGCCAGGGACAUGGUAAGGCUGGAGUGGGUAUAAGAGAUGCAGACAGGGGGAAGUAAGAUGGAAGAGGCAGGCUGGGCCUUGCCUAAAGGGCAGGUUCUGGGGUGGUGGGCCCUGCACAUGGUUUUAAACCAGGAGACCUGUUUGAUCAGAGUAUGGACUAUGAGUGCUCAAGAACAAGUCUGCUCUCAGGGACAGGCCAGACUCCUCAGACGGGGAAUUUUGCUUUGGUCCUAACAAAAUGGCCAGCAUGACCACGUGCUUGGAUGUUCCAUUUGUCCAAUUACAUCCUUUGCUUCGGCAGCAAAGCUGAGGCUCUGUGUGAGGUACCCAGAGUGGGAGACAUGGGACAUUUUAUUGGAUGGUAUUGAAUUUGUUCAGACACUUGCAAUUCCCCUGGAAGGGGCCAUGGAUAUGGAGUUAAUUUACCCUCCGACCUGAAGCCACAAAGUUGAUAAUCACCUGCCACAGUCUAUGGGGGAGAUGAACUUCAUUGCGGGGCUGUUCAAUAAAUCUGCUAUUAGCAGGGAAAGUGCUUACAUGCACUUAAAAAAAAUUAAACAACAAAAUAAGAGCUGUUGAUUGACACAGCAUCAAUAAAGCCAUGCGUGUGCACUGUUGACCUUCCCCCACCCCCAGCUGCCAAUCUGUGUUUAUUAGAAAUCAGUUCCUAUAAAUAGCUUAUGGCAGAGAAAACAGUGAGCUGCUCCUCAAAUGUGUGACUGUGACAUGCUAACUUCCAUACAUGGCUCUUGGUUGGAUUUAGUUAAUCAUUUGCUGUAGCUGACUUGUGGAGCAUCAGUUGUGAGGGGUUGCUGUGGGGAGGUGGUUAAUAAUUUUACCACUGCACCUUUGAAGCAGAAUUGCUAGUUCCCCCCAGUCUGUUCUUCUGUGUUGCUGACUAGCUGAACCCCAAUUUGUUUUCAGGGGAGCAGUGUGCUUUGCUAAAAAAAGAAAAAAGCUUUCCCCUGCCUCUCUGAAGCUGGGAUUGAGCACACAGUACUGGCCAAUGAGACACAGCUGAGAGGUUCUGGCAAAAUUUUUGCUGACCUGAUAGAUGCGCUACCUCUUUUUCACUGUUCUCGCUCCUUUAAGCCAUUUUGUCCAACGAAAAAGGAAACUGGCCUCUCAUUCCAGUCCUUGUCUGACUCAGUGUCUUUCCAGUGUUGGGUUGGCAUGAUGGCACAUGUCGUGGGCUUGGGGAUCCAGUUUACCUCUUUCUCCUUUCUAUUUUCCUCCUGCUUGGAAAGUGGAUGAAAGUCUGGAAGUACAGCAACCAUAUUGUGAUUAUGAAGUUACCACCUUGAGAUUGAGGACCAUGGUGUUAAGGAUGGUGGAGCAGAAAGAUGGAUAUGGUUCAAGUUCCUGACGUUGUUGAGUUACUUACAGAUCCAGGCUUCCUAUUCAUAAACCUU